UCUUCGGGGAGCCGGACCGGUCCGGCUGAGAUUGGGCGACAACGGCGCCCUGACCCGUGAACCUGAUACGGAUCAUGCCGUCGUAGGGAAAGGGUG
RNAcentral lists this non-coding RNA (96 nucleotides) under bovine gut metagenome. RNAcentral's name for it is "TPP riboswitch (THI element)". It matches the Rfam family "TPP riboswitch aptamer (THI element)", at positions 7 to 92 of the family's 105-position model. Rfam says of the family: Vitamin B(1) in its active form thiamin pyrophosphate (TPP) is an essential coenzyme that is synthesised by coupling of pyrimidine and thiazole moieties in bacteria. The record is from RNAcentral.